This is a long non-coding RNA of Arachis ipaensis, 866 nucleotides long. RefSeq lists it as uncharacterized. Lineage: Eukaryota; Viridiplantae; Streptophyta; Magnoliopsida; Fabales; Fabaceae. The record is from RefSeq and is a predicted model, not a curated record.
AUUUAAGUUUACUAAGUUCUUUCAAUUAUAUUUAUGGGGAGUGUGCCAAUGUAUCAUAGUUAUUUUUCACUAGUUGGCCGUAUCAUAUAUUAGGGAUAUAUCGUUCUUUUGUAAAGUCUGUGUAUGCAGCUGAGUUAGUGGUUCUUAAUGUACAUUUAAGGACUGUAUUCCAUGUUAGAGGCAUAACCCGAUUGUUGACUAUCAAGCAAGGAUAGUACGGGUGGAGCACCUUUCUCUCCAGGUGGUAUUUGAGCGAGGAUUGCUGGAGAUGGACUGUGUCUUCCUGAAUCCAGUAUUUUAGGAUGCGCUUACCGGAGUAAACAAGCAAUCUGCUGCGGAUGUCCUAUGGAGGAAGGUUAUUUGAAGCCUUGCCAGAGGUGCCUUCCGAGAUUUGGAAGCUUUGCAAGGGUUCAUUUCAUGAACACCCAUAUCUAAGGUUAAUGUUCACUGGUUCUUGCUUAGACAGCAAUUUCAAGCAAAUUUUGGAGUGAGUUGCCUCUCACCAUAGCUUGGCGACAUCUCUUGCAUCAACAUUUGGCGAUUCCGCUGUAAAUAUAAAACCUUCGUGGAUACUGUUGCUCAACACUUAACAGCAACCCGAUACAUAUUUCAGAUGACACGCACCAGCGAUAUUGAAUCCUUUUGCUUGCUGCUUGCUGUACUUACAUUCAGAUAGGCACACUCCGACGUUAUUGAAUCAUAAAUAAACCCCAGUCGUUAGCAUUAAAUCUCUUGCUCCUGCUAUAGUUUUGGGGUAUACGGUAUAAUCUCUGCUAAUUAUUUUCGUAAAGUUUAUUUCACCGUCAUUUGUUUGAAAGUUAGUCUCAUAAUUUGUAAGUAUCCAUCUUUUAAGUUGGUUUCAGUAA